This is a non-coding RNA of Paramuricea clavata, 411 nucleotides long. Lineage: Eukaryota; Metazoa; Cnidaria; Anthozoa; Malacalcyonacea; Plexauridae. The record is from the annotation of a GenBank genome assembly.
UGUAACAAGUCUGCAAACAAGUUGUUACAAGUCUGUUCAGAAGUUGUCAACAAGUUGUGUUCGCACUGCUUGUUCCCAGUUUGUUGUAACAAGAUUGAAACAAGCUGUUAACAACUUGUAACAAGCUUGAUGGCAUUAUCAGCUUUGUUACAAGACUGUGCUAACAAGUUUGUUACAGCCAUGAUAUAACAAGGAUGUUACAAGGUUGUCAACACGAGGCUGUAACAAUCUUGUUAUAUCAAGCAUGUAACGGACCUGUCAGAACAACCUUGCAACAGGUCUGAUAAUUUCGAGAAGGUUGUUACAAGUUGUUCCAAACCUGUUGACAACUUGUGACAAGCAGUGCGAAUACAUCUUGUUGACGGCUUGUUGGCAGACUUGUUACAAGAUGUGAGAUUUUUACGUGUGUAG